CAGGACGAACGCUGGCGGCGUGCUUAACACAUGCAAGUCGAACGGAAAGGCCUUUUCGGAGGUACUCGAGUGGCGAACGGGUGAGUAACACGUGGGUGAUCUGCCCUGCACUCUGGGAUAAGCCUGGGAAACUGGGUCUAAUACCGGAUAGGACCGCACUUUAGUGUGUGUGGUGGAAAGUUUUUUCGGUGUAGGAUGAGCCCGCGGCCUAUCAGCUUGUUGGUGGGGUAAUGGCCUACCAAGGCGGCGACGGGUAGCCGGACUGAGAGGUUGGUCGGCCACAUUGGGACUGAGAUACGGCCCAGACUCCUACGGGAGGCGGCAGUGGGGAAUAUUGCACAAUGGGCGCAAGCCUGAUGCAGCGACGCCGCGUGGGGGAUGACGGCCUUCGGGUUGUAAACUCCUUUCGCCAGGGACGAAGCGUUUUGUGACGGUACCUGGAGAAGAAGCACCGGCUAACUACGUGCCAGCAGCCGCGGUAAUACGUAGGGUGCAAGCGUUGUCCGGAAUUACUGGGCGUAGAGAGCUCGUAGGUGGUUUGUCACGUCGUCUGUGAAAUUCCACAGCUUAACUGUGGGCGUGCAGGCGAUACGGGCUGACUUGAGUACUGUAGGGGUAACUGGAAUUCCUGGUGCAGCGGUGAAAUGCGCAGAUAUCAGGAGGAACACCGAUGGCGAAGGCAGGUUACUGGGCAGUUACUGACGCUGAGGAGCGAAA
RNAcentral lists this ribosomal RNA (717 nucleotides) under uncultured Actinomycetales bacterium. Its description in RNAcentral is "bacterial SSU rRNA". It matches the Rfam family "Bacterial small subunit ribosomal RNA", at positions 25 to 758 of the family's 1533-position model. Lineage: Bacteria; Bacillati; Actinomycetota; Actinomycetes; Actinomycetales. The record is from RNAcentral.